GCCGCCUUAGCUCAGUUGGUAGAGCACCGCACUUGUAAUGCGAAGGUCGUUGGUUCGAUUCCGACAGGCGGCUCCA
RNAcentral lists this transfer RNA (76 nucleotides) under Holophaga sp. RNAcentral's name for it is "tRNA-Thr". It matches the Rfam family "tRNA". Rfam says of the family: Transfer RNA (tRNA) molecules are approximately 80 nucleotides in length. Lineage: Bacteria; Pseudomonadati; Acidobacteriota; Holophagae; Holophagales; Holophagaceae. The record is from RNAcentral.